UCAAGUGAAUAAGUGCAUCAGGCGGAUGCCUUGGCGAUGAUAGGCGACGAAGGACGUGUAAGCCUGCGAAAAGCGCGGGGGAGCUGGCAAUAAAGCUAUGAUUCCGCGAUGUCCGAAUGGGGAAACCCACUGCAUUCUGUGCAGUAUCCUAAGUUGAAUACAUAGGCUUAGAGAAGCGAACCCGGAGAACUGAACCAUCUAAGUACCCGGAGGAAAAGAAAUCAACCGAGAUUCCGCAAGUAGUGGCGAGCGAACGCGGAGGAGCCUGUACGUAAUAACUGUCGAGAUAGAAGAACAAGCUGGGAAGCUUGACCAUAGCGGGUGACAGUCCCGUAUUCGAAAUCUCAACAGCGGUACUAAGCGUACGAAAAGUAGGGCGGGACACGUGAAAUCCUGUCUGAAUAUGGGGGGACCAUCCUCCAAGGCUAAAUACUCAUCAUCGACCGAUAGUGAACCAGUACCGUGAGGGAAAGGCGAAAAGAACCCCGGGAGGGGAGUGAAACAGAACCUGAAACCUGAUGCAUACAAACAGUGGGAGCGCCCUAGUGGUGUGACUGCGUACCUUUUGUAUAAUGGGUCAACGACUUACAUUCAGUAGCGAGCUUAACCGGAUAGGGGAGGCGUAGGGAAACCGAGUCUUAAUAGGGCGAUGAGUUGCUGGGUGUAGACCCGAAACCGAGUGAUCUAUCCAUGGCCAGGUUGAAGGUGCCGUAACAGGUACUGGAGGACCGAACCCACGCAUGUUGCAAAAUGCGGGGAUGAGCUGUGGGUAGGGGUGAAAGGCUAAACAAACUCGGAGAUAGCUGGUUCUCCCCGAAAACUAUUUAGGUAGUGCCUCGAGCAAGACACUGAUGGGGGUAAAGCACUGUUAUGGCUAGGGGGUUAUUGCAACUUACCAACCCAUGGCAAACUCAGAAUACCAUCAAGUGGUUCCUCGGGAGACAGACAGCGGGUGCUAACGUCCGUUGUCAAGAGGGAAACAACCCAGACCGCCGGCUAAGGUCCCAAAUGAUAGAUUAAGUGGUAAACGAAGUGGGAAGGCACAGACAGCCAGGAUGUUGGCUUAGAAGCAGCCAUCAUUUAAAGAAAGCGUAAUAGCUCACUGGUCGAGUCGUCCUGCGCGGAAGAUGUAACGGGGCUCAAAUCUAUAACCGAAGCUGCGGAUGCCGGUUUACCGGCAUGGUAGGGGAGCGUUCUGUAGGCUGAUGAAGGUGCAUUGUAAAGUGUGCUGGAGGUAUCAGAAGUGCGAAUGUUGACAUGAGUAGCGAUAAAGCGGGUGAAAAGCCCGCUCGCCGAAAGCCCAAGGUUUCCUACGCAACGUUCAUCGGCGUAGGGUGAGUCGGCCCCUAAGGCGAGGCAGAAAUGCGUAGUCGAUGGGAAACAGGUUAAUAUUCCUGUACUUGAUUCAAAUGCGAUGUGGGGACGGAGAAGGUUAGGUUGGCAAGCUGUUGGAAUAGCUUGUUUAAGCCGGUAGGUGGAAGACUUAGGCAAAUCCGGGUUUUCUUAACACCGAGAAGUGAUGACGAGUGUCUACGGACACGAAGCAACCGAUACCACGCUUCCAGGAAAAGCCACUAAGCUUCAGUUUGAAUCGAACCGUACCGCAAACCGACACAGGUGGGCAGGAUGAGAAUUCUAAGGCGCUUGAGAGAACUCGGGAGAAGGAACUCGGCAAAUUGAUACCGUAACUUCGGGAGAAGGUAUGCCCUCUAAGGUUAAGGACUUGCUCCGUAAGCCCCGGAGGGUCGCAGAGAAUAGGUGGCUGCGACUGUUUAUUAAAAACACAGCACUCUGCCAACACGAAAGUGGACGUAUAGGGUGUGACGCCUGCCCGGUGCCGGAAGGUUAAUUGAAGAUGUGCAAGCAUCGGAUCGAAGCCCCGGUAAACGGCGGCCGUAACUAUAACGGUCCUAAGGUAGCGAAAUUCCUUGUCGGGUAAGUUCCGACCCGCACGAAUGGCGUAACGAUGGCCACACUGUCUCCUCCCGAGACUCAGCGAAGUUGAAGUGGUUGUGAAGAUGCAAUCUACCCGCUGCUAGACGGAAAGACCCCGUGAACCUUUACUGUAGCUUUGCAUUGGACUUUGAAGUCACUUGUGUAGGAUAGGUGGGAGGCUUGGAAGCAGAGACGCCAGUCUCUGUGGAGUCGUCCUUGAAAUACCACCCUGGUGUCUUUGAGGUUCUAACCCAGACCCGUCAUCCGGGUCGGGGACCGUGCAUGGUAGGCAGUUUGACUGGGGCGGUCUCCUCCCAAAGCGUAACGGAGGAGUUCGAAGGUUACCUAGGUCCGGUCGGAAAUCGGACUGAUAGUGCAAUGGCAAAAGGUAGCUUAACUGCGAGACCGACAAGUCGGGCAGGUGCGAAAGCAGGACAUAGUGAUCCGGUGGUUCUGUAUGGAAGGGCCAUCGCUCAACGGAUAAAAGGUACUCCGGGGAUAACAGGCUGAUUCCGCCCAAGAGUUCAUAUCGACGGCGGAGUUUGGCACCUCGAUGUCGGCUCAUCACAUCCUGGGGCUGUAGUCGGUCCCAAGGGUAUGGCUGUUCGCCAUUUAAAGUGGUACGUGAGCUGGGUUUAAAACGUCGUGAGACAGUUUGGUCCCUAUCUGCAGUGGGCGUUGGAAGUUUGACGGGGGCUGCUCCUAGUACGAGAGGACCGGAGUGGACGAACCUCUGGUGUACCGGUUGUAACGCCAGUUGCAUAGCCGGGUAGCUAAGUUCGGAAGAGAUAAGCGCUGAAAGCAUCUAAGCGCGAAACUCGCCUGAAGAUGAGACUUCCCUUGCGGUUUAACCGCACUAAAGGGUCGUUCGAGACCAGGACGUUGAUAGGUGGGGUGUGGAAGCGCGGUAACGCGUGAAGCUAACCCAUACUAAUUGCCCGUGAGGCUUGACUC
RNAcentral lists this ribosomal RNA (2889 nucleotides) under Neisseria gonorrhoeae. RNAcentral describes it as "23S ribosomal RNA". It matches the Rfam family "Bacterial large subunit ribosomal RNA". Lineage: Bacteria; Pseudomonadati; Pseudomonadota; Betaproteobacteria; Neisseriales; Neisseriaceae. The record is from RNAcentral.